GCAGUCGCCACGGUAAAACGAAGGGGGCUAGCGUUGCUCGGAAUUACUGGGCGUAAAGGGAGCGUAGGCGGAUCGUUAAGUUGGGGGUGAAAGCCCGGGGCUCAACCUCGGAACUGCCUUCAAUACUGGCGAUCUUGAGUAUGAGAGAGGUGUGUGGAACUCCGAGUGUAGAGGUGAAAUUCGUAGAUAUUCGGAAGAACACCAGUGGCGAAGGCGACACACUGGCUCAUUACUGACGCUGAGGCUCGAAAGCGUGGGGAGCAAACAGGAUUAGAUACCCGUGUAGUCCCUGUCUCUUAUAC
Molecule: ribosomal RNA, 302 nt
Filed under: uncultured bacterium
Lineage: Bacteria
Description: partial 16S ribosomal RNA
Rfam family: Bacterial small subunit ribosomal RNA
Source: RNAcentral